CUUAAUGGUAGUUGUGCGCGGGAGACCUGAGGUCUGCCGGAGUCCGUAGCUAUCCGGUUCGCCAACCCGCGUACAGCUGCCACCCAU
This 87-nucleotide non-coding RNA is filed under the name Pseudomonas sp. NFACC16-2. The record is from RNAcentral. Lineage: Bacteria; Pseudomonadati; Pseudomonadota; Gammaproteobacteria; Pseudomonadales; Pseudomonadaceae. RNAcentral also lists the same sequence under 10 other names.